This 239-nucleotide ribosomal RNA is filed under the name Clostridioides difficile. RNAcentral's name for it is "partial 23S ribosomal RNA". It matches the Rfam family "Bacterial large subunit ribosomal RNA", at positions 420 to 660 of the family's 2925-position model. The record is from RNAcentral. Lineage: Bacteria; Bacillati; Bacillota; Clostridia; Peptostreptococcales; Peptostreptococcaceae.
GGGACCGUGAAACCCUGUGGGAAGCAGGAGGGACCACCCUCCAAGGCUAAAUACUACCUAGUGACCGAUAGCGUAUAGUACCGUGAGGGAAAGGUGAAAAGAACCCCGGGAGGGGAGUGAAAUAGAGCCUGAAACCCUGCACUUACAAGCUGUGGAAGCACAUUUCUUGUGUGACCGCGUACUUUUUGUAGAACGGGCCAACGAGUUACGUUAAGUAGCAAGGUUAAGCACUUAAGGUG